RNAcentral lists this ribosomal RNA (497 nucleotides) under uncultured bacterium. RNAcentral's name for it is "partial 16S ribosomal RNA". It matches the Rfam family "Bacterial small subunit ribosomal RNA", at positions 28 to 507 of the family's 1533-position model. The record is from RNAcentral.
GAUGAACGCUGGCGGCGUGCCUAAUACAUGCAAGUCGAGCGAACGGACGAGAAGCUUGCUUCUCUGAUGUUAGCGGCGGACGGGUGAGUAACACGUGGAUAACCUACCUAUAAGACUGGGAUAACUUCGGGAAACCGGAGCUAAUACCGGAUAAUAUUUUGAACCGCAUGGUUCAAAAGUGAAAGACGGUCUUGCUGUAACUUAUAGAUGAAUCCGCGCUGCAUUAGCUAGUUGGUAAGGUAACGGCCUACCAAGGCAACGAUGCAUAGACGACGUGAGAGGGUGGUCGGCCACACUGGAACUGGGACGCGGUCCAGACUCCUACGGGAGGCAGCAGUAGGGAAUCUGCCGCAAUGGGCGAAAGCCUGACGGAGCAACGCCGCGUGAGUGAUGAAGGUCUUCGGUUCGUAAAACCCUGUUAUUAGGGAAGAACAUAUGUGUAAGGAACUGAGCACAUCUUGACGGUACCUAAUCAGAAAGCCACGGCUAACUACGUG